GGGCCCGCACAAGCGGUGGAGUAUGUGGUUUAAUUCGAUGCAACGCGAAGAACCUUACCAGGGUUUGACAUCCUGCGAAUCUCUUGGAAACGAGAGAGUGCCUUCGGGAACGCAGUGACAGGUGGUGCAUGGCUGUCGUCAGCUCGUGUCGUGAGAUGUUGGGUUAAGUCCCGCAACGAGCGCAACCCACGUCUUUAGUUGCCAGCAUUUAGUUGGGCACUCUAGAGAGACUGCCGGUGAUAAACCGGAGGAAGGUGUGGAUGACGUCAAGUCAUCAUGCCCCUUACAUCCUGGGCUACACACGUACUACAAUGGCGCAUACAGAGGGUUGCGAAACUGUGAAGUGGAGCUAA
RNAcentral lists this ribosomal RNA (353 nucleotides) under uncultured bacterium. RNAcentral's name for it is "bacterial SSU rRNA". It matches the Rfam family "Bacterial small subunit ribosomal RNA", at positions 917 to 1271 of the family's 1533-position model. The record is from RNAcentral.